Molecule: ribosomal RNA, 497 nt
Filed under: uncultured bacterium
Lineage: Bacteria
Description: partial 16S ribosomal RNA
Rfam family: Bacterial small subunit ribosomal RNA
Source: RNAcentral
GAUGAACGCUGGCGGCGUGCCUAAUACAUGCAAGUCGAGCGAACGGACGAGAAGCUUGCUUCUCUGAUGUUAGCGGCGGACGGGUGAGUAACACGUGGAUAACCUACCUAUAAGACUGGGAUAACUUCGGGAAACCGGAGCUAAUACCGGAUAAUAUUUUGAACCGCAUGGUUCAAAAGUGAAAGACGGUCUUGCUGUCACUUAUAGAUGGAUCCGCGCUGCAUUAGCUAGUUGGUAAGGUAACGGCUUACCAAGGCAACGAUGCAUAGCCGACCGGAUAGGGUGAUCGGCCACACGGGAACGGAGACACGGUCCAGACUCCUACGGGAGGAAGCAGUAGGGAAUCUUCCGCAAUGGGCGAAAGCCUGACGGAGCAACGCCGCGUGAGUGAUGAAGGUCUUCGGAUCGUAAAACUCUUUUAUUAGGGAAGAACAUAUGUGUAAGUAACUGUGCACAUCUUGACGGUACCUAAUCAGAAAGCCACGGCUAACUACGUG